Molecule: ribosomal RNA, 206 nt
Filed under: Escherichia coli
Lineage: Bacteria; Pseudomonadati; Pseudomonadota; Gammaproteobacteria; Enterobacterales; Enterobacteriaceae
Description: partial 23S ribosomal RNA
Rfam family: Bacterial large subunit ribosomal RNA
Source: RNAcentral
CAUGCCAAUGGCACUGCCCGGUAGCUAAAUGCGGAAGAGAUAAGUGCUGAAAGCAUCUAAGCACGAAACUUGCCCCGAGAUGAGUUCUCCCUGACCCUUUAAGGGUCCUGAAGGAACGUUGAAGACGACGACGUUGAUAGGCCGGGUGUGUAAGCGCAGCGAUGCGUUGAGCUAACCGGUACUAAUGAACCGUGAGGCUUAACCUU